UUGUAGGGCGUCUAUAAAAGUGGGCAUGAACAGCCAACACAAUUAAGCUAUUACAAUUUUGAAGUUUAGUACUUUGGUUAAUGUACUACCUUUAAACUUUUAAUAAGUGUCUUCAUUAUUACUCAUGUUAUUCACACGGAAGGGAUUAUAACAACAGUGAAUACAUAGAUUAUCAGUCAAAGAGCAGUUCAAAAUAUCUGUUUUGAAAUGGCAACCUCUGAGAGUUCACUUCAUAACAUUUCAGAUUUAGUGAAGGACUACGUUUGUGGCCCUUGCGAAAGUAAAAAUAUUGAGGAAAUUGCUGAUUAUUUUUGUGCAAUAUGUUUGAAGUUUUUCUGCAGAAAAUGCUUUAAUCUACAUGAUCAGUUAUAUACAAAUCAUUCCAAAUACGGGCGAGAAGAAACAAAUAACUGGCCUCUGACAAAGACCAUGGAGGAUUUGCUACUGAAAUGUGACGUCCACAAGAAUGAGAAACUGAAAAUGUUUUGCCAGGACCACAGUCAGCUGUGUUGCUCUGCUUGUGCUUGUCUGAAUCACAGACAGUGCGCCAGUGCGACUCUAAUUUGUGACUCAGUCCAAAAGAUGUCAGUGGAUAUGCAACAGUUGACCAUCAAUCUUCAAACUAUUCUUGAUGAAUUAAAUAAGUUAUUCCGUCUGUGGAGAUAACAUAUAGGAAACAAUUUAAAGAAAUCCGAGACCUGCGAAAUAAAUUAAAUGCUGAUUUGGAUGCACUAGAAAAUAAAACCUUGAAAGAACUGGAUGAAAUAAGGACCACAUUGCAAACCGCUCUGCAGAUGGACGUUGACAACUGCCGCAGAUUGAAGGAUGAACUAAACCAACUCAGGGAGGCUGUUUAUGUCCUUUGUGAUAAAAGCAACAAAGAACUUGAAUUCAUAGCCAGCAGAAAAUGUCUUGACAAAAUGCAAGAGUCUGAUUCGUAUCUAAAGAAGAAAUCUGUGAGGUUGGAUGACUCAAUAAUAUUCAAGGCAAACCGUGACAUUGAGAAGUACCUGUCUCAACAAUCAAGUCUAGGGAGGAUUGAAGACAGAAUGCAGUCUCUCACACUCAAGAUAAUCCCACACCAGAUAUUGACUGUUAAGAGCAAAUCUGAGUUUAUUGUAAGAAUAUCAAGUGACACAAGUCAGACUUGCAGUAUCAAAGGCAUUUGCUGCCUUCCUGGUGGCCGGGUGAUUGUCACAGAAUACCAUAAUAACAAAGUGAAGCUGUUUGACCCGCAUUAAGUGUCCAGUCACUGUGAUGUGUCUGGUUCUCCAUGUGACAUUUGCCAAAUUACAUCUAAGUGGGUGGCUGUAACUGUUAAUAAAGAUGUGAAGUUCAUCUCUGUGAUCAAUGGGCAGCUGGUGAGUGGGGGACGUAUCAGUUACAGCAUGAGGCUAAAGGUAUUGCUCUCCAUAAGGGAGCAUUGUAUGUCACCUCUGGCACUGCCCUCUACCACUACACUCUGACUGGAUCACUUGUGAAAAAGCUUUACGAGAAUGCAAGAAACUUAUGUACAGUGUGGAGAUGUGCAUUGAGUCCUUCUGGAGACAGGAUCUAUGUCACUAACAAGCACAUGCACAUCACUCUGGCUACAGAUGGCACCCGGAUAUCCACCUUCACGGACCCCGCUUUAAAAUGCCCAUAUGGUGUUCAUGUUACACCUUCAGGAAAGUGCUUGUCUGUGGAUGCGACUCCAAUACUGUCAUACAGUUGGAUCAUGAGGGAAGAAAGAAACUGGCAACUAUGGUAUCUCAGAAAGAUGGAGUUAGCAACCCAGUGUCUGUCUGCUACAACGCCAGCAAUCACCGGAUCAUUGUUGGGAUAAAUAAUAGCCAUACAAUCAAUGUUAUCGAAUUGCAAUAGCAAUUCCAAUGAUGUAAACACAUUGAUAUAAACGCGGUUAUAUGUGUUAUUUCUUUUCUUUUUUAUGGCACAUUCAAUCAUGGGAGUUUUUCUUUACUAACUAUUAUUCAAACUGUAUUUUGAAAAUGAGUUGAUUUAAUUGUUUAAAGAUUGUAGCAAACAAGGAUGUAUGACUGCUACCUAUGAUGUGUAUGCUGAUUAGUUCUUUUGUGUUGCUUUAGCCAACAAUAAGAUUAUCUUUGUUUUCCUUUGCCUACCAUACCUAUGAAAUUGUCCCUAUUUAAAUGAAGGUUGGGCUAAACUUAAAUCGCUUUUCCUUUCAAGAUUAAUCUUUAUUAUUUAUUAAACAAAACAUUAAAAGGACAUAAAGCCCAAGUGGACAAAGUAAGCGUACAGUGUUUACAAAUAAAAUAGAAAAUUAUUAUACAAAGUAAUAAUAUGAAGUGCAACUACAAUAAAUGUAUCAUUAAAUAUUUGGCUACUAUAUUUAUAAUUUUGAUAGUAUAUAUGUAAUUCAAUAUGUAUAUUUACGUCAAAUUGUAAUGGAGCUGAUGAAUUACAACACAUAUAUAAUAUGCUGUUAUGUACAUAUAUUAGGUCUUCAAAUUACAGUUGUAAUAAUAAUACUACUACUAUUUACUAAACCAAAGAAAUACAAUGCUUAUGUUUAUGAUAAUAGUAUUUAUAUAGCAGUAUGUUCAAAUAUGAAAGUAAUAGAACAUGCUUUAGACUAAAAGAACAAUAUGGUUUUAACUACAUAGAGGUAAUUUAUUUUGCUUAAUUUGCAUUGUUGGUUGUUGAACACUAUUAAAGCCAAUUUUACAUAUUUUUACAUCAUACCCAGACACCCUUGUAAAUCUGACACCUUAUAUCCUUAAAUUGACAUUUUUAUUACUACAUAAAUGUAAAACCUUCAUUAUGGUAAAAACAUUUAUACGGACAACCGUUCCUAUGCUUAUUUUGACAAGGCGGACAUUGGUUCCUACGUUAUUUUGACAAGAGGGACAGUCAUUCCUACAUUAUUUUGAAAGCCCGGACAAUCGUUUCUAAAUUAUUUUGACAUCUCGGAAUAGUGUUUCUACAUUAUUUUGACAACCCGGAUAGUCAUUCCUACAUUAUUUAGACAACCUGGACAAUGGUUUCUACAUUAUUUUGACAACCCGGACAAUUGUUCCUACAUGAUUUUGACAACCUGGGCAAUCAUUCCUAUAUUAUUUUGACAGCCCGAACAAUCCUUCCUACAUUAUUUUGAUAGCCCGGACAAUCCUUCCUACAUUAUUUUGACAGCCCGAACAAUCCUUCCUACAUUAUUUUGAUAGCCCGGACAAUCCUUCCUACAUUAUUUUGAUACCCCAGACAAUCAUUCCUACAUUAUUUUGAUAGCCCGGACAAUCCUUCCUACAUUAUUUUGAUAGCCCGGACAAUCCUUCCUGGCUACAUUAUUUUGAUAGCCAGGACAAUCCUCCCUACAUAAUUUUGACAGCCCGAACAAUCCUUCCUACAUUAUUUUGAUAGCCCGGACAAUCCUUCCUAUAUUAUUUUGAUAGCAAGGACAAUCGUUCCUACAUUAUUUUGAAAGCCCGGACAAUCAUUCCUACAUUGUAUGCAGACACCAAACAAUGGUUCCUAUAUUGUUACUAUCUUGGGCAUUCGUUCCUAAAUUAAAUUUAUGGAAAUAAGUGCAAACUUUGCAAAAGAAUAAAACAUGAGAACCGAAAAAGAAGUUGAUAGGUUGUUCUUUAUUUAACUUGUAUUUGUGAUGUUAUACACACGAAUUUACAGAAAGUAAAUGAACACAUAUGUAUAUGUAUAUAUAUACAUACACAAUACAAUAUGCAAAAAAAAAAAGCAAAUAGUGUAGGAACGCCUGUCCAGGUUGUAAACAUAAUGUAUGAACGACUGUCUGCCUUGUCACACAUAGUGUAGGAACAAUUGCCCGUGGGAAUGAUUGUCCGGUCUAAACACCUGGAGGAAAUUUAGUAUUUAAGCACAUGCAAAGUUGCAUAGAAGCAGCAUAAAAAAGUAGAUGCUAACAUAAAUUUAGACAACUACUAUUUGUUUCCUCUACAGGUAAGAGUAGUUUUUAUUUAAUUGUAUUUUUUUAUUUGAGAUAAAAUAACAUUUUUACUAUUCGUUUAUGGGUUGAAUGAUUACUUUUUUGUUAGGCAAUUUAGGACUAAAGUAAUUUCUGUGCAUUACCUUACAUAUUUAUUUGUAAGUUAACAAUUAACUAUUGGAAAUAUUACAUUUUCAUUUAUAUAAAUAUGUUUAUGGAUGUUUUGUUUAAUUAUUAAAAGUUCAUUUUUAGAUUAAUUGCAUGUAUAGCAAAUAUACUAUUAAACAAUUUUACCAUUUGUAUUUCAAAAGUAUUACUUAUGUGAAAAUAUAUCAAUGUAAUUGUUAUUUAGCAAAAAAU
Long non-coding RNA from Dreissena polymorpha, 4279 nucleotides. RefSeq lists it as uncharacterized. The transcript has 3 exons. Lineage: Eukaryota; Metazoa; Mollusca; Bivalvia; Myida; Dreissenidae. The record is from RefSeq and is a predicted model, not a curated record.